RNAcentral lists this ribosomal RNA (468 nucleotides) under uncultured bacterium. RNAcentral describes it as "partial 16S ribosomal RNA". It matches the Rfam family "Bacterial small subunit ribosomal RNA", at positions 28 to 507 of the family's 1533-position model. The record is from RNAcentral.
GACGAACGCUGGCGGCGUGCUUAACACAUGCAAGUCGAACGGAAAGGCCCUGCUUUUGUGUGGUUCUCGAGUGGCGAACGGGUGAGUAACACGUGAGUAACCUGCCCUUGACUUUGGGAUAACUUCAGGAAACUGGGGCUAAUACCGGAUAGGAGCUCCUGCUGCAUGGUGGGGGUUGGAAAGUUUCGGCGGUUGGGGAUGGACUCGCGGCUUAUCAGCUUGUUGGUGGGGUAGUUGCUUACCAAGGCUUUGACGGGUAGCCGGCCUGAGAGGGUGACCGGCCACAUUGGGACUGAGAUACGGCCCAGACUCCUACGGGAGGCAGCAGUGGGGAAUAUUGCACAAUGGGCGGAAGCCUGAUGCAGCAACGCCGCGUGCGGGAUGACGGCCUUCGGGUUGUAAACCGCUUUCGCCUGUGACGAAGCGUGAGUGACGGUAAUGGGUAAAGAAGCACCGGCUAACUACGUG